This is a non-coding RNA of Glycine soja, 71 nucleotides long. The record is from Rfam. Lineage: Eukaryota; Viridiplantae; Streptophyta; Magnoliopsida; Fabales; Fabaceae.
GGGCAUUUAGUCUAGGGUAUGAUUCUCGCUUAGGGUGCGAGAGGUCCCGAGUUCAAUUCUCGGAAUUCCCC